GACGAACGCUGGCGGCGUGCUUAACACAUGCAAGUCGAACGGAAAGGCCCUGCUUGCAGGGUACUCGAGUGGCGAACGGGUGAGUAACACGUGGGUGAUCUGCCCUGCACUUCGGGAUAAGCCUGGGAAACUGGGUCUAAUACCGGAUAGGAGCCAUUUUUAGUGUGAUGGUUGGAAAGUUUUUUCGGUGUAGGAUGAGCUCGCGGCCUAUCAGCUUGUUGGUGGGGUAAUGGCCUACCAAGGCGGCGACGGGUAGCCGGCCUGAGAGGGUGGACGGCCACAUUGGGAUUGAGAUACGGCCCAGACUCCUACGGGAGGCAGCAGUGGGGAAUAUUGCACAAUGGGCGCAAGCCUGAUGCAGCGACGCCGCGUGGGGGAUGACGGCCUUCGGGUUGUAAACUCCCUUCGCUAGGGACGAAGCUUUUUGUGACGGUACCUAGAUAAGAAGCACCGGCUAACUACGUG
RNAcentral lists this ribosomal RNA (465 nucleotides) under uncultured bacterium. RNAcentral describes it as "partial 16S ribosomal RNA". It matches the Rfam family "Bacterial small subunit ribosomal RNA", at positions 28 to 507 of the family's 1533-position model. The record is from RNAcentral.